GUGAGUAGUUCAGAGUUUGAUCCUGGCUCAGGACGAACGCUGGCGGCGUGCUUAACACAUGCAAGUCGAGCGGAGACAAUUAGCGGAAGUUUUCGGAUGGAAGCUAAUGUUUUAGCGGCGGACGGGUGAGUAACGCGUGAGCAACCUUCCUUCACUGGGGAAUAACACAGGGAAACUUGUACUAAUACCGCAUGAGACCACACCGGGGCAUCCUGGAGGGGUCAAAGAUUUAUUGGUGAAGGGUGGGCUCGCGUCCGAUUAGGUAGUUGGUGAGGUAACGGCCCACCAAGCCGACGAUCGGUAGCCGACCUGAGAGGGUGAUCGGCCACAUUGGGACUGAGACACGGCCCAA
Molecule: ribosomal RNA, 352 nt
Filed under: uncultured bacterium
Lineage: Bacteria
Description: bacterial SSU rRNA
Rfam family: Bacterial small subunit ribosomal RNA
Source: RNAcentral